AAUAUUUCUUGACAAUAUUAUCCAACUAUAUUUUUAAUAGAUGCAAUCAAGAGAGUGUGGUCUUUGCUAGAACAGUAGCUCUAUACAGGCGGAACAAACGCUAUGAACCAAAAUUACCAAUAUCUCUGUCAACUGUAUUAAAACAUAAUAAGUUUAAUAUAAAAUUUUAAAAAUAAUAUGGAUUAUUCAUAUAUAGUCUUGUUACAAAUUUAUAGCCCGUAAACACUAACAAAUUGAAGAAUAAAGGAGUUGUUUUCCUCAAGUGUAUUUUAUCUCCGAUUAUUUAAAUCUAAUCUGUCGCGUUAGUUUUAGACAAAAAGUUAUGGAAAUAGGAGAUGACCUUACAUUACAUAUUUACUUUGGUGAUGGAGAAGUUAGCUUCACAAUACCUUAUCAUAAACUCGAGAUCACGUAUAAAGAGAAGGAGAAAUGAAGCCCACACAGAAAGCUAGUAAAAAAGUACUCCUAUAUCAACCAUUCGCUUGCAAAUUUAUCACACCAUACCAAAAGAGAGCACUUUCCUCUUUUUAUCGGUGUUCUUCUUCUAGUAUACUCUUACCAUUAAAAGGCACUCUUGAUAAUGCUAAGAAGCAUAGAUUUUCG
This 603-nucleotide long non-coding RNA is filed under the name Daucus carota (carrot). RNAcentral's name for it is "long non-coding RNA (DCAR_LNC003141)". Lineage: Eukaryota; Viridiplantae; Streptophyta; Magnoliopsida; Apiales; Apiaceae. The record is from RNAcentral.